RNAcentral lists this ribosomal RNA (270 nucleotides) under uncultured Vagococcus sp. RNAcentral's name for it is "partial 16S ribosomal RNA". It matches the Rfam family "Bacterial small subunit ribosomal RNA", at positions 32 to 278 of the family's 1533-position model. Lineage: Bacteria; Bacillati; Bacillota; Bacilli; Lactobacillales; Enterococcaceae. The record is from RNAcentral.
GCGACGCUGGCGGCGUGCCUAAUACAUGCAAGUCGAACGCUUCUUUUUCACCGGGUGCUUGCACCCACCGAGAAAGAGGAGUGGCGGACGGGUGAGUAACACGUGGGCAACCUGCCCAUCAGAGGGGGAUAACACUUGGAAACAGGUGCUAAUACCGCAUAAUUCUUUUUGUCGCCUGACAGAAAGAUAAAAGACGCUUUCGGGUGUCACUGAUGGAUGGNCCCGCGCUGCNUUAACUANNUGNAGGGGUANCNNCUCANUAGUNUUUNU